Molecule: long non-coding RNA, 200 nt
Filed under: Populus trichocarpa (black cottonwood)
Lineage: Eukaryota; Viridiplantae; Streptophyta; Magnoliopsida; Malpighiales; Salicaceae
Description: long non-coding RNA (PTRI_LNC001854)
Source: RNAcentral
GCUGGGCAAAGCAAGCAAGAAGCACGCGUGGAGUGGCUCCACGCGUGCAUGCAUAGUGCGAAGGUAAUUAAUUUACCUUCGCACUGUGCAACAUUACAUUCAAAAUGAAUGUACAAAAAAUCGAAAGCAAAAAAUGGCUUACCUGUUCUCUGGAGACGGUGGGGAUGGUGACAGUGCAGUGGUGCCUCUCGUCUGCCUAC